UAUUUUUUCACCGAUUGGUUCAUCAUAUAUGAGAUAAACUGAUGUCUUCAUCACAAUGAAACUGUUUCCAAAAACAACAACAAUCUCCACUUUGUCACCAGGUUCCAUAUUUGAUACCACUCUCUUCCAUUCCUCAUUUUCUAAGGAGGAUAACGCCUCUCUCUUAUAGAGUUGAAUGGUGGUCUUUGUGUGAUUUAUCACCAACACAUUUUGAAGGCCAACUGAUGCUAUGCCAUUUGGGCUUGAUGAAUAGACAAUGCACAUCAUUGUCUUCAAGCUACGUCCUUCCACUUGAGGGACUUCAAAAACAACAGAAUAACCUUUGGAGUUGAAACUUAACCAAUUUGGGUAAUUAUCACAGGGGAGCAAAACACUACCACCCCCGUCGACAGUCAAAUUCUGUAAAAAAGUGGAAAUAAACACUAAUAUCACAAUCAUUUAACAAUGAUAUAAUACUCCUCAUAAGAUAAUUAUUCGUAUUUUGAUCAGUAAAAAUUAAAACAAUGAUAUUUGGACACCCCAAUUUUCCAAACACUCAUUUAACACUUCAUUUUCUCUUUAUCUCUCUUCCUAUCACAUCACCAACAUAUCAAAUCUAUCACAUCACUCUUGUUAUUUCUCUCUGUCUCUCUCGCUUAAGGUGUUUAGGUGUCUACCAAACAUUUUCCUAAAAAUUAAAAUUAUUUGACUACCUAAAAAAAAUUUGAAGUAAUGAUAGGAAAAAUCAUUGCUGGUUUUAUAAGAAUUUCUCUUUUCUAAUAUUGGUUAUAUAAAAAAUAUAACUAUCAGAAACAUGCAAGAGAGAGAGAGCGAAACCUGUAAGAUCCUCUCUUUGAGAAUAUUGGAGAUUAGGCAACUCGUUCCCAUUUGAAUUAGAAGAGAUUUCAUGCAAUUUUUUGUUGCUGAAUCUUGCAUUUGAUCACAACAUUCCAUUAAUGAACAAGUCUUCACAUUGGAUACUUGUGACGUAGUUGCAAUUGAUUCCAAUCCCUUGGAAUUUGUUGAACUUAAAGCAUUCAAAAUUCUUGUUGUGUCCUGUGAAAGUUGAAGUUCUGAUCCACACUCCAACCAAAGGCACUGAAGUUUUGGAAGGACACUGAAAAUAGACGAUAGAUCAUGGGAAAUACUAUUUGAUGCAUGCAAAGAAACAAGGGAUGACAUUCCGACAGCUGUUUGAACAGCGGGUGGGAGAUUAUUUGUUGGUAACAUCCAAGACGAAAUGAUAGAAGGAAACACAUCACGAGAGAAUCCUUCAUAUCCACACAGAGAAAUAAAUCCAAUGCUUUUUGACCUUACUACCGAAAAGGGCACUUUUGUUAUAGCAGUAUUAUUUGCAAUCAGAGUGGUUAAAGAUUCCAUUUGUUCCAACUCCUCUUCCAACUUGUCAAUCAUUAAACAUCCCGAUAGAAUGAGAGUUUUCAGAGAUUUCAACGAAUAAAUGUUUCUUGGAAGGUUAGAAAGGCUAGUACAAUCUUUCAAAUUUAUCAAAAGAACUUUCUUAAGAUGUCCAAUUGUAUGGGAUACCUCAGACAGCCUUGGACAAUCUUUGAGUACCAGCUUUUCAAGGUUAGGCAAGUAUGAAAAGUCAGGGGUCUGUGUCAGAUAAUGAGAAUGACUAAGAUUGAGAAUUUUCAGCUGCUCCAUUCUCUGCAAGAACAGAAAUAUUAUAGAGAACUUGCGGAUAAAGCAUAAAAAGAGAAGUACAAGCACGUACGACGUGUCGCCAACCUUGAGAGUGGUAAUAAAAUAUUUGUGUGAGUGCAUAGCCAUUUUUUUAAUACCAACAUACGUUAGUUUAGUAUUACUUUUUGCUCAAAAUAUUCGGGUGCCAGCAUUCUGCUGUGAAUUUUAAAAUUCAGCAUAAUAGAUAGGUUUGAAAUUCCUCUGGUUUCUUUUAUUUACUGUGUUGAUUUAUGGACUGUUAUGUGAAUUUUGUUUGUACUUAUAUACAUUGUAACUAAAUUCAUAGUUAGGGCUAUGAUGGAUCUUUUGUAUUAUAAUCAAAUUAUUCAUAGUUUUCAACUGUUUUGUCCUUUGUUCUUCACAACCAAAGUCUUAAAACACAGACAAUAGGCAGUCUAGUAAUACAUUGUAACUCACUGUCAGAUAAUUAGUUCCUGAAUAUAUCAACAUUUAAAACAAAUCCACAAAUGUCUCUUUUACUAGUCAUUUUAGUCCUCAAAUGUGUUUUUUGUUGGUCAAUUUAGUCCAUGAAAUUACUAACAAAAGAGGCACUAAGGAUGUAUUUGUAAUAUCGAUACAAUUAGAGACAGUGCCUCACACAUUAAGGCAACAAAGUGGCUAUUUGCUCUUACAAUUUAAACCAUUGGAUACGCUAACUAGGACUCCAAUCCUUCUAUUACUAUUGCGAACGGGACACACUUGACCAAAAGUGCACUCUGGACGCAACACUUGAAUAGAAUUCAUAAAUAUGAAAAGUGAAAACAACUCAAAAUACAAAAAACAAAACUCCAAAGUAAUACCUGCAUCUCUUUCCACACAAGUUUGACAUUGCUAUUUUCUAACUCAAUGGAAACAAUAUUUCUUUGAUAGAAGUUUGAAGGUAUGCAUGUUAAAGGAAAUCCAUUCCAGUGUAGCCAUCUCAAUUGUUUUGAAAGAUAUUUAAAAUCUCCAUCAAGUUGUGCACCAGAAAGUUGAAGCAAUCUGAGUUUCUUCAUCUUCUUAAAUGCUUCGGUGCUAAAACGUUGUGCACUACGUCCUGGCAGCUUCAAAGUCAGUCCCUCAACAGCUUUUGUUCCCUAUAUAUGAAAUAUAAUGGACCAAAAGUAAAACAUGCUACACAGCCAGGAAGCACAAUAAUAUGUGUAAAACUAAAAGAUAGUAGGCAGAUAAAAAAUUUGUAAUGAAACCAAUCAUUUUUACUAGCUCAAAUGAUUGUUGACUAGUAACUCAAAUGUGUUUUGCUUCUUUAAGUUUGAGAUUUCUAAAUCGAGAAUUUCUUAUUUAACCAAAAACAGAUAUUUUAAAUCAAGAAUUUAAAACAAAGUAUAUGAAAUUCUUACCGUAUGUUCUGACAAUAUAUCAAUCACAUCCUCAUGAUACCACAACCUACUACGUUCCUCAGGCUCCAUUGGUGAUUUCUCACGAAUGAUUUCUCUUCCCAUAUCUCGCAGCAAAUCAUGCAUGCCAAGCUUGUUCUUAUCAUCAACUGUUACAAGGCUUCGUUCAACAAGGACACUUAUUCCAAUUUCAGCGAAAAGUCCACAGCCAUUUAAAAUAAGAAUAACAUCAUUUCGGUCCAUCCCAAUUAAGAAACAAGCUAUGUCAAGGAAUAUUGAUUUUUCUGUAUCAUUUAAACCAUCAUAGCUUAUUUUUAACUUCUUAUGUACUUGAUCAUUGGGAAUUCUUUUGAGUUUCUCCAAUACACAAAUCCACUCUGAUACCUCCCUAUCAAACAAAUAGGAUCCAAGGACUUCAAGAGCUAGUGGCAAUCCCCCAGAAUAUUUAACUACAUUUCUAGAAAUUUCAGAAUAAUCAUCUCUAGGACUCGUUUGCUUGAAAGCAUGCCAACUAAAAAGUUCAAGAGAUUCACUUUCAUCCAUUUCUUUCAUUAUGUAUAUUUUGUCAACUCUAUCCCCUCGAAGUAUAUGCUUAUCCCUGGUCGUGAUGAUUAUUCUACUCCCUGGAGCAAACCAUUUACAACUUCCACACAAAGCAUUGAGUUGGUCCAAUUUAUUCACAUCGUCAAGUACAAGAAGAACUCUUUUAUGACAAAGUCGUUCCUUUAAUAUAGAUUUCCCUGAUUCAAUAUUUUGAAUCUUGGUUGUGGUUUCUUUGAAAAUAUCAUACAUAAGUUGUUCUUGUAAAUACACUUGUCCAGAAACUUGCUCCCAAACCUCCCUUAUAUUUGCAAGAAAGCUCCUACCUUCAAAAUUCCGGCCAAUUUUAUUGUAAAUGGCUUUUGCAAUGGUGGUUUUACCAAUUCCACCCAUCCCCCACAUCCCCAGCAGUAGAACAUCAUUUGACUGUUGAGUGUCUAGAAGUUGAAUCAUAUCUUGCACUCGAGAUUCGACUCCGACAGGAUUAUCAGCAAUGAACAAGUCUGUCUUGUCAAGCAAAUUUGUAACAUUUUCAACAAUAUCCUUGAUAACCUCACAUUCGUUCCUAUGAAAAUACAAAGAAAUGGUAAAUUUGCAUAUUCAAAGCCGUUAAAAAAAGAAAAAAAAUGCACAUCCAUACAUAUGUCUAUAUGUAAGUACAAGUAAUUACCUAUGUAUGUGUGUAUAUGUGUCACGAGUAGAGGGCAAAACUUCAAUUAGAUUGAAAGUGAUGACCAAAGAAGAAAAUCGUACAUACAAUUAUCAUUUUGUAAAUUGACAAUGUGGCAAGAAAAAGAAGAUUUAAAUUAAAAAGGUAGGAUUCUCUAUUAUGUUGCUUCUUAAGCAAACAAGAAAUGGUUAUUCCACAUGCAGAAGAGAGUAUAUAUGCAAAAUGAGUUCACUUUAGAAGGCAAAGAAAAAAUACUAAGAAAUUAAAUAAAACAAAUGGUCAAAAGAGUACGAAUGUGAGUGAAAACAAACAUGAUGAAAAAAGCAAUAACUUGCUGGAUUAAGAAGGACCAGUUACUAGAUCCCAAUAAAACCAAUCAUUUAGAAGGUUUACACCAAAAAGAAUUGCAAUGUAACAUUCUAAACUGCUUUCAGGAUUGCCGACUGACCCCACAAACCAACACGAGUCUUUUCAGCGUGUUUUGUCCUCACUCACACGCUUACCGGGAAACUUCCCGAUAGCUCACCCAUCCCAAAAUUGCUCCAAGCCAAUCAUGCUUAACUGUGGAGUUCUUAUGGAACUGUGGAGUUCUUAUGGAAUGAGCUACCGAAAAGAAGAUGCAUCUUGUUGAUAUAGGUAGUACCAAACAAUUCUUAUAAGUCUUCCUUCAACUAUGUAGUCCCAUACCUACAUGGCCUCAGGAUCCCUCUCAUUCCGAUGUGAUUCGGUUCCUCUUAGAAGUUGUCGGGAGCCGCUCAUUGUCGUGCCUUGUGCACCGGCGACCACUCCCCGCCCUCGUCAGUCUUGGGUGUUACAUGUCCACCAGCUUCCGCUUGGUUCGUCCCCGAAAUACACCGUACUGGGAGAGGUCGGCUCUUAUACCAUUUGUAACAUCCCAGACUGCUUUCAAGAUUGCCGACCCACAAACCAACACGAGUCUUUUCAGCGUGUUUUGUCCUCACUCACACGCUUACCGGAAAACUUUUCGGUAGGUCACCCAUCCCAAAAUUGCUCUAAGCCAAGCACGCUUAACUCUGAAGUUCUUAUGGAAUUGGCUACCGAAAAGAAGAUGCAUCUUGUUGAUAUAGGUAGUACCAAACAAUUCUUAUAAGCCUUCCUUCAACCAUAUAGUCUCAUGCCUACAUGGCCUCAGGAUCCCUCUCAUUCCGAUGUGAUUCGAUUCCUCUUAGAAGCUGUUGGGAGCCGCUCAUUGUCGUGCCUUGUGCACCGGCGACCACUCCUCGCCCUCGUCAGCCUUGGGUGUUACAUGCAAGACCUAAGAGACAACCAUGUAAGACUAGUUACUGGCAGUAACUUCGAGAAAGCAGACUAAAGAAACUCUGUAUUGGGCACUAUAGGAGGACUACCGUGUACGAUAGCUAUUUUGAGAGUGGAGAGUUAGCUAUAAUUCUAUCUAAUUAACCAUUAUAGUAUAGGAAAAUAGUUAUGUGUCAAGUGUGUGUAAAAGCACAAAAAUAUUCCCAGUAGGAGUUUUAGGCUUUGGAUCUGAUCUUAAAGAUUGUUGCUUUGAAUUCAACAUAAUUUCCCUUUUAAUUCAGAACUGAUGUUCUAUCAUUUCGUUUGACCUGCUAAGUCGAAAAGACGGAAUUUAGAUGCAAGAGUUUGUGUUGUUUAGCCAUGACUCAUGUGAAAGAUUGCAUGGAGUCAUGGACCAAAGGUUAGGCAAGAGUUCAAUUGGCAAACAGAGUCAAUGGAUCGAUGUUUGUUCCACCCGCAUCAGUCCACACUUUAUGUCUUAGUCCUAAGCAUGAGGGUCUGGAUGGCCUAUGUAGUGCUAAUAUGGUUUGCAUAGUCCUAACCAUACAAGUCAACCCCACAAAACGGGCUUGGUAGAAAGACAUGAUACACGAUGUAUGAUACAAAUGUUCAAACAAUAGGCGGAAAGAAAUGGACAAAAUCAUAUCAAAUAAGUGCUGAGACAAAUCUCAUGCAUAGCUCUCAACAAUGAAUUUGAAUGUACUGAUUAGAAAGUUUGUUAAAAACACUAGGACGAUAUAUAAUUAAUUGUAUUUGAACUAGUAGCAAUGCACAUUAUAAAUCCCGAAUAAAACAAUUGAUUUAGACCCUCUUUAGGUAAACAACUUAUUUUGCAGGUUAUCGCAUAAGCGUUUAUAAUAGGCUUAUUUGAUCCAAUGGUUCCUCAAAUAAUUUCAAGUUUUCAUUUUGGUCCCACAAUUAAUAAAAUGUACAUUUUGGUCCCUUACUUUUUUCUCCGUUUGCCAAAUAAAUCCCGACCGUUAACUUAUAUAAGCAGUAAGUUGUUUUCAGCUUAUUAUGAACAUUUAAUAAAAUCUCCCAAAUAGUGUCACAAGUACUUAUGCCAGUAGAUAAGCUCGUGAUAUUAUAUGUUGAACACUUUCCUUAAUACGAUUUUUUAUGGAGGUCCUAUAUAAAGAGACAGAUGGAUUCAGACAUAAGGAUUUAUGUCUAAGAUAAGAUGGAUCAGUUCAAAAUAAUGAAGAAAGCAUUCAAAAUGCAUGGAAGAAGCAACUAACCUGUAAUUUGGGACAACAAAUCCUGCAAUGCCAGCCACGUCAUGAAGCGCAUCUAUCCACUUCAGCGAUGCGCCGUGUCCUUCUACAUUAUUAUUCGAAAGAUGUUGAAACGAUUGACCAAACUCACGAGAUUGACGACGAACAUCAGACGGAUAAACAUCGUAGAACACAGGCAGUACCACCUGUCCAGUGGUUCUGUAACACUCCAGUAUUUGAAUCAACUCCUGCAUACACCACGGUGAAUCCGCGUAGUUUUUGGAGAAUACAAUAAUAGAAAUUCUAGAACCUUCUUUCCUCGCUGUAGUGACAUUGAGAUGGACAAACCUCUUGGAACGGAAUGAUCGUCUUUGAAGACGAUAAUUCCGGCAUUUUGAAGAGAAGAAGUGAGAUGUGAAAUGAAUGAUGCACUGAGUAUCAUCACCUCUGAAACUUAAGAACACUUCGUACUCUCUUCUUUCUUUGGGACUAUCAAGCAGCUCGUUCAAAUCCUCAACAGAGAAAGUUAUACUCUCCUGAUUAGAAUCCAAAUUUAUAUCACCGAAAAUGUAACUUGUUGAGGAAGACAUGUAUGAAAGAUUUGUUUGGGUGAAGCACCGAUUUGUUUUAUUGUCAAUGUUUUCCGAAGAAAUGUAUCUUUGGGUUUGGUUAAUACUCUUCAGUUUACUUGGGUGGAUCAUAUGUUGAAUUGCAUGAUUAAAGUGGAUGACUCAUCAUAUCACUUGGUCUCUAGAAAAUUUGUCUUUAUACUGAAGCAACUUUUUUGUAGAAAGAAUAUAUUUAGAGACCAAAAUUGUGCUUAUCAUUAUUUUAAGACACGAAUUAAUAUGUUAUAUAGUUGUUGAAACCUACCAUCAAAUAAAUAAUAAAACUCGUACACCAAUUUAGGUUAAAGUGUCGUUGCUGGCUUAUACAAAUGACAAUAAUUUUAGAUUUUUAGUGAAUUGAUUUUGACUAAAACUUAGUGGAAGGUAAGUGUGAUUUAUCCAUGCUUGAACUUUUAUUGUAUAUUAGUGACAUAGGGGAUAUUUGUCCAUCAAUAUAAACAUGUAGAUAAAUAAUUGUACAUUCUUCCUUCAAAAAAAAAAAAUCUACAUUCUAUAAGCUUUUAGCUUUUAGGCUUCAUGAUAACUAACAGGAGGAACAAAAGUCAAUCCUAACAAAUGUAAGGAAGUGUUAGACAUGAGAAGUCUAAUCACUUUGAAGGAAGUUCAAAGAUUUAUCAUUCAAGGUGAAUACUAUUUUGAUCUCAGUUCCACUCUAGAUGUUCGACGAGUGACGUGGUACUACAGAAAAAUCACUUGGAGAAAGAUAUUUCUAUAAAUCUUAAGAACCAUAAGCUGUCUAUAAAUCUUUCACAAAGUUUGAUGAGAAAUACUCAGAGAGAUCAUUACGGUUCAAAGAUACAAAACUGAAAGAGAUACAAGCUUAUUUAUAGGAGGCAGGCAAACCGCUACACAAUGAUCUUGAAUAACAAAAAACCAAUUUCACUUAAACCAAACAUUUCUUGUAUGAAAUUUCUUUUGGAUAAAAUUCAUGUAGGUUGCAUCAAUUUGAGAAUGGGUCCCACCAAAAGUGCUGAAACCUACAUGAAUUUCAAUUAAUCCAACAAAAAUUGAGGGAUGGAAUGGGUGUUGCUAGUCUUUGUCUCAUUUCUAUGAAUGUGUUCUAGCACAUGUCCAAUAGGUGUGUCUCUCAGAGAUUAUUGCUUUGAAGAUCUGAAAGAAAAUUAAAGAUUGAAUGGCUUAGUAUGAGAAAAAACCAAAAACUUAUCAUAACAAAAUCUUCAGAAUCAAUCUUCUGAGAACCUAGAAGCAAAUAUACAGAUCAUUAAGAAAAUAAGGUGUGACGCGGUCGCAGGGAUUACAAUUUAAAACUUUGGUAAUAUGCCAAGGAUCCACACAUCUGCAAUGGAUAAUGAUUCUUUUUCUUCAAUGUUUAUUAGCAGGUUUUAAAAAGUCAAAUUUACUGCAGAAAAUGAUGAAAGUUCAAAUAAAUAAAAUCAACAUAAAGGUGCAUUACCUAAACAGUCAAAACCUGCGGUCGGCGAAUCCAGACCAGCUUUCGUAGGGAAGAAGUUGAACGAAACAAUGUGUGCAGUUGGCAGGAUGUUUGUAUCCUCGACAUCAAGGCCCCUCUUAAACAGUUCUGGAACCUACAGAAGACAGCAAAACCAAAUUCCACCAAUCAAAAAUAGAAAGGAAAAGAAUGACAAUUCUCAAUGAAAGAAUCUUGGCACACCAAUCAAAAGCAUGAUUGUCAAACAAAACAGUUCUUCCUUGUUAAUACAUAGUACAGCAUGAUGAUGCAGUUCUUUUCUCCCAGAAAACAUUUUAUAGUUUAUAUUUUUAGAAAAAAUUCACAAUUCCUUUAUUUUAUGAUGAAUAGUUGAAUACCAAGCUUUAUCCAAAUUGAAUGUUUAAUUUUAAAAGCAAUAAUUAAACAGUGAGAUAACUAACAAAUACAUUUUCUUCAUGAGGAAAUGCAGGAGAGGUAAACUAUACCGAAUACUUAAACUGAAUUCUUCUUGAAGCAUUUUGUCCAAAAUUGUCUGCAUUUUGAAUGCUUUCACUUAAAACAUGGCUGAUUUCCAUUUGCAAAUUCUGUUUAAGUAUACAAUUAAUUUAGUUGAUCAAUCAUCAAGUAUCCUGGUUUCCUUAUCUUAUUCCCCGUAGAGCAUUAGGAUCAGGGCUUCCCAAUCAAGCUCAUGUUGGACUUCUGUGAAACCAAAAUCCAAGCCAACUUGACUUUCCUAGGUACCACAUGCUUCAGCGAUAAGAGCAUUAGUAGCCAACACCAAUAAAACCUGCAAUUCACAGUCGGAAGCUAUAAAUCAUCAAUCAGCCACAACUAGCAGCACCGCUACAAGGUCUAUAGGCACCAUAAGAAUCAAAUUCAUAAAUCCCCAAAAUGAUCUUUAAAAUUGAAGAAAUAAGGAAAAUUCACAGAAGCUCUCAAUAGAUUGUCUGUCAUUUUAGUCCACAAAGCUAUCCUUUGAAUUUCUCUUAUUUCUGGAGACUAAGCUAACAGCGCAGAACAAUUGCAGGACCAAACUGGCAAUUAACUCAAAUUAAAUUUUACCUGGCAAUUAUUUUACGUCUUUCAUUUUCAGUCAAGCUUUCUUCUUCUCUGUUUUUGUUUAAAAUGACCUGCGGGCUCUACUUGAAGAGUGAACCUCUUGGCAGCACAUUCAUUUUCAUCACCACUACCAUCUUGUGCAUGACAUUGCCCCAAAUUUUCACCAAUUGGUUCAUCAUAUAUGAGAUAAACUGCUGUCUUCAUCACAAUGAAACUGUUCCCAAAAACAACAAUCUCGACUUUGUCACCAGGUUCCAUAUUUGAUACUACUCUCUGCCACUCCUCAUUUUCAAAGGAGGCGAAUGCCUCUCUCUUAUAGAGCUGAAUGGUAGUCUUCGUGUGAUUUAUCACCAACACAUUUUUUAGGCCAUCUCACCAAAAUGUGCACUUAGAAGACU
This 10219-nucleotide long non-coding RNA is filed under the name Medicago truncatula (barrel medic). RNAcentral describes it as "long non-coding RNA (MTRU_LNC001439)". The record is from RNAcentral. Lineage: Eukaryota; Viridiplantae; Streptophyta; Magnoliopsida; Fabales; Fabaceae.